Molecule: long non-coding RNA, 1646 nt
Organism: Astatotilapia calliptera (eastern happy)
Lineage: Eukaryota; Metazoa; Chordata; Actinopteri; Cichliformes; Cichlidae
Source: Ensembl
UGCGUUACCAAGAUGGCGGCUUAGUGGACUUCAGUUUUUGCAAAAUCAAAUGUAAUUGUUGUAUGAGCAUUAGUUAGUACAACGUGGAUACAAUAACAAGUUGGCAUGCCACGUUUGUGUGCUUUCUGCGGCUGUAAUAAUCGAGUGGGCUGUGGGCUUUCGUUUUUCGCAUUCCCAAAGGACAGUACAAGGAGGCGGAAAUGGCUUCUUAAUUUGAUGAGGGCAGACUUAUCCCCCGACAUGACGAGAGAAGAGUCCGACAGAGCUGGGUAUGUGGUCUGCGAACAACAUUUCAGGCCAAAGGACAUAAACUCAAAGGGUAGAAGAAAACGUCUGGCUCCUGAAGCCGUCCCCAUCCUUCUGCACACUAUAAAGGAGGAACAGAGAGAUUUGGAGAUGCCUUCUACUGAUGUUCAUGCUCCAGUGCCUCUGCAAGACACACCCCCAUAUGAACAGGUCGUGGCAAUGUUUAACAAGCUGCUGGCAGAGAAGGAUGAGAAAAUCAAGGAUCUGAAAAGCAUUCUGCAGAGAGAGAGGGCCAGAAUGCGGCUGAUGAAGUUCCGCAUGAACAGCAAAAUCAGAGAACUGAAAAGAAAACUCGAACAGCAGCAGAACAGUAGCAGUGACCAAGGCGAUCAGCUGACUGCUGCCUCCGACUGCCUUCCACAGGCAGCAAAGGAGUUUUUUGACAAGCAAAUAGCCAUGGCCAAGGUGAGGAAACACGGCCAGAGAUAUGACAAGAAACAAAAGGACAUGGCAAUCCAGCUGUACAAACAGAGCCCAAGCUGUUACUCUGAACUCCAAAAAAUGUUUCAGUUACCGUCUUCAACCACUCUGAGGAGGCACCAGGUGGUCAGUCAGGAAGCGAGUCCACUUAUGAAAAUCAGAACUCCAGCACCUCAACAUUAACCAACAGAUUCUCAGAGGGAUUCAUGUCAGUCAAGUUGGCUGGCCAAUCAAGCACAACAAUAACAUGAGUGAAGAGGAGGAUCGGGAGCCUUUGGGAUGGCCUGCCAGUCAGAAGGACACACCAGGUGACCCAGAGAGAGGUGAGGAGGUGAAACUUGCUGAUGUAGCUGGAUGGGUGGUGCAGAAAGUGGCUCAAGAUCCAGAAGUCAGUGCUUGUACCGAAUGUGAAAGUUUGCUUGUGGAGACCAAUGACACAGAGCACAACUAUCACACACGGAUGGAGAAGGAUGCCGUCUCAGCUGUGAAGAAAAGCCCAACCUCUGCCCGGCUGCUUCAUCCAUCCGAAGCUUUCAAAGAAUGCAUUUCGAAAUGUGACAGCGUCAUCCAAAAAAUCCCCCCAAAUGCAAUGGCCCCGAAGAAAUUAAAGGCCUACCUCAGAGCCAGCGGUGCUUUCAGUGAGCUCCACCGCAUCCAUCCUGCCCACUCAAAGGCCAUCGAGAGGGUCGCCGUGAAUAAAUAUGUGAUGUGCAGGGUGGUGGCCGAGCUGAAGGAAACAGCACAAAACAGAAAACGCACACAUGAGAAAAAAAGUGCUGCGUGUCAAGAGCUAAAUGUUAGCACCCUUGAAGUAAAUCAGGACUAAAUAAAUAUAAAAUGUUGUUAAUUUGAUAAUAAAUUAUUUUAGGCCAUUCUAACUUGUCUGUGUUGUUUCAAGCUUUCCUCCAUUUGACCUAGAC